GCUCCGCGGCAUGUGGGAUCUUCCCGGACCGGGACACGAACCCGUGUCCCCUGCAUCGGUAGGCGGACUCUCAACCACUGCGCCACCAGGGAAGCCCCGUACACGCAUUAUGAAUCAUAAUUAAGCCCUAGUUUUGACUAGCCUGUUUACUGUACAAUGAAUUUUUGUAUAUUCCAGUUACUUACAUGAAUUUUCCCUUGAGAUUUUGGUACAGUUUAAUGGAGGCAGAAAUCUGCAUUUAAAGUGAAAAAUGAUUGGUCUGUUUUUCAUAUUUAAGUAGCAUGUGGCUAUUUUUAUACUGAUUUUGAUAUUGUAUACAUUCUUUUCAUGAUCUUAUUUUGCCACUAUAAACAUCAACAAAAAAGGCGGUUUUUAGAACCUGAGUUUUAAUAGCAGUUUUGAAUUUGUAAAGUUGGUAGUUGCAGAAAUCAAACACUAGGUGGCACCCAGUUAUCUUAACAUUGGAGAUACUGAUAUAGUUGUCAACUUUUUUUUUUUUAACUUACUGUGCAUAGAAAAUUCCCAAACAACAAAAGAUUGUUUUGAACACAUGCAUGUAUGUAGAAUAUUUUUGCAGAACAAAAGGAUUAUGUUCAAAGUGUCGUUUUAUUUUCAGAAGUCAUAUACGUGUGAGCUACAAUUUUGAGUGCUUUAUAAACACUUAAACUAUGUGUAAAUGAAAAUUUAAUUUCAUAACAGUUUGUACAAAUUAAGCCUUUGGGAAAGUAUCCCUAAGCUGGGGAAAGAGGAGGGAAUAACAACUUAAUGAAAAGAUGGUCUCUUAUUUCUGAAUGGAAGAACUACAUACAGUGGAGAAAUAUAAUAAAGACAGUAUCAUGCUGCAGAGUAUAUUAUACCCUUACUUUGCGUUUAGGAUGUAUUUUAUUGUGUGUACAGGUGUUUUUUGCUUGUAUUUUAUUGGGAAUUUAGAUUUACCCUUUGUUAGUUUUUCAUCAUCAACCCUAGUAAGAUGAAAUUAAGGGCAGGGCUAGUUAGACCUAACUAGCCACAUUGAAGUGGUAUGCAACUGUAAAAGAAAUCCUUCAUGUAGCUUGUGAAACUUUUAUUCUACUGGUCUCCAGAGAACUCUUCAGUGUUGAAAAGUAAUACACAGAGGAUUAAACCUUCACAUGGCUUCAGAAAAUAAGCACAUCUUUUUUUUUUUUUUUUUUUAGUAAGCACAUCUUUGAUCCCAUGCUUAGUAUAAUUUCCUUUCCUAAGUGUGCAAACUCUGGAAUAAAAAUCUGAGGUACUAUAAAAUAUUAAAUCAAAAACCAGAAACUAAGAGUGGACAAUUGCAGUUGAUGUUUCUUACUCUAUGGAGUCCCUGAACACUUAACCUAGGUGGAAUGUGUCUGAGACCAUGGACUGGUUUUUAGUACUCAUAAGGAACCAGCCUUGAAGAGUUGACUGAGUGAUCAUCUUCGUCGGUAAUCUAAACCUCUUAAGAUACUUAGGCUUCUGUACAUAAAAGUGUUCUGGUAAAUUUGUGGUAUAUGCAGAUCUUUCCUCCACAUUGUUUUACCAAGAAUGUUUUGACUCUGCAUCUGUGCUACAGUUCAUGGUACGGGUGGUGCAACUCAAACAUUAGUUUUUCUACUUAACCUCCUCUAAUAAUAUGGUUUGUCUAAAGAUUCUUACCCCAAUUCACGUGUUUGCAGGUGACAUUUUUUUUCUUGUCUACGUAGUAACAGUCCAAUCUAGUGCUGUUGUACCCUAGAAAAUCUCAAAUUAUAAUGAUUAAAAUAGUUGGGGUAAACUUGUAUUUCAUAUGCAACACUACUUGGAGGAAUUAUUUUACUAACUUGUCUUUAGUGUGGAAAUUAGUUUCAUUGAUUUGAUUAUAUUUCAAAGGUGGAAUGGAAGUGGUCCUCAAGAAAAAAAACCUUUUUUGUUGUUAUACUGUUUGAUUCCUAUAAUACAAUGCUAGAAAGUAUGCCCUGAAAGAAAAUAAAGUCUUUGAAAUCCAAGAAUAAUGAUUCUUACUGCUAAGAGAAUGUAAUAGUUAUUACUAAUGAGUUCGAUAGGCAUGCAUUUUUCAUGCAGUGUUUAUUCCACCUCCAAUUAGAGUAUAUAAAUAAGUUGUAUUACUAAGGUGGCUAAAUAACCAAACCAAGUGUUUGUGUAAAAAAAGACUUGCCAAGAUUUAAUUGUUUGACUGUUGAAUCUUUCUUGAAAAUCCCGCCUCUCAAAAGAGACCACCUCUUAAGGAGCCUGUAAACUAUGCAUGAUGAAAAUUCUUGUAUUUUAUUAAGGAGUGGCCAUUGGUUUACUCACCACAUCUGUGGAAUCAUGGCUAUAAGUAUAGUUGCUUACAGAACUCCUGGUGACUUGUAGUUUAACUUACUCUCAUCUAUCUUGUGUAAAUAUUAAAUUAUAAGACAUUGCAUAACAUCUUGAAUAGAUACAAACUGCUGUCAGUAUUGACUUCAGAGCAAGUGAGUAAUCUAAUAGGUAAAAGCAUGUUUCAAAUAAAAUACCUAGCUGGAUUUAUACUUUAUUUGUAUUGUGUACAGAUUUAACAACAUCCAGUAUUAACUAUGGCUUGGCAGUGAAAUGAAAGUAAGUUCUUUAUGUUACCUGUCAUAAAGAUUAAAAAGAUUUGUAUUGGUGUGAGAUGUUUAGAUCUCUGUCCUGCUUAGUAAGGGGAAGUUUCAUUUAUACAGCUUUUACAUACCACUUUGUGUUUUUUAUUUACCUUCAACUACCAUCAUUGCUUUUUUCUUCCUAUUUUAGAAAAGAACAAAAUCUGAAUUAAGUCUUACUAUAAGUGUGAUAAGACACUAGCCUCUCAGGUGACCACGGGCACCUUCUCCAGCUUGUCUGAGCUUCAGGCUCCUCACCUGUAAGAUGGAGAUGAUGAGAAGAGUACCUGCAGAAUCACAGAAAUGUUGGGAGGAUUAAUAAUGCGUGUUCGUAUGUGUGAUCCACUUAGAGCAGUGUCCGCCACUAUUCACUUGAUAUCCAGGACUGUGUAAGAGAGAAUAUGCACGUCUUUUUUAUUCUCUAUUUACCAUUUCUUUUACUUGCAGUCUUUGGUUCCUAUAACAAAAGAAGUGUGUAGAAUAUAUAUUUGUAUAUUCAUGUCGACACAAUAUUUAAAAUAAUUGCUACCACCCUCAUUUAAUUCAGCCUAAGACUAACAGAUGGAAGUCUCUAAAUUGCUUAAAGAAAGGUAUUUUGCAAAGUACCAACUUGCUCUAUAUUUCUUUAGAGAAAGCUUAUAAUUAGUAAUAUUGGUAGCUCUGGUCAUCUUUCAUUCUGAAGUCUUUAAUGAGUCCUUUUACCAUAGAUUCAUGACAGCUAAUUGGUACUGAUUUGGAGGUUUCCUUUCCCAUCAUUUGGAAUUAUGUAAUCAGAUACAAACUAUUGCAAUUAGAAAUAAAAUAUGAAAUAACUUUCAA
Aethalodelphis obliquidens (Pacific white-sided dolphin) is the source of this 3404-nucleotide long non-coding RNA. RefSeq lists it as uncharacterized. The transcript is spliced from 2 exons. The record is from RefSeq and is a predicted model, not a curated record. NCBI's taxonomy places the organism in Eukaryota, Metazoa, Chordata, Mammalia, Artiodactyla, Delphinidae.